ACAAACAGCACUAAAUACUCGUGGAUAUUGGAGCUUUCUGUGUGUAACGAGUGAGCCCUAGAAUCAAAUCGGCUGUUUUGAAAACCGUCCUGGAGUCUGGUUAAUUGAGAUCAAGACUGAGAAGGGUGAGUACAGCUGGAUAUAAGAGUGAGUCUGGAAAGGGCACAGAUGUUGAUCUAGUCGUGAUUCGAACGCACGUUACAUCCAGAAGGUUCUAGUUCCCGAAAGAUUUCCCAGCAAUGGAUUCGGAAAUCAAUAUAAAAUAUCGGACCCUUUUGGUUCACCACCUUGAGAAGGACGAAAUUGAAUUCGAACUCGAAACUAGAGCAGUGCAAUUCGAGAAGGAGGAAAGUGUAUCGGUACUUAGGAGACGUUUGCGUGAGAAAUUGAAGCGAGAGAAAGGCGAUCCGGAAGAAAUUGAUUUCACAAAGUGUGAAACACGCACAGUAGCUAAUGAAAUCGAAUUGAUAGAUGGAAAGAUAAAAGAAAUUAGUGAUUAUUUGGAGAAGAAGAAAGAGUUCGAGGGAGUUCGGGAGUCACUAGGGACAAGAAUCGAUCCGUAAGGAAGUCAUGCUCCAGAUUACGAACUCGCUUACACAGUUGCAAUUAGGACAACCAGGUCCGUCGAUUGUGCCGCGAGUGUCUCAAGAGACCCAGACGGACGAUACAGAAGCGAAUUCCGGAGAGAAUCAGGAGUCCAGGCAAUCCAAGGUCCAAAGUAGUCACCGCGACGACAACUCCGUUCUAGUUUAAAUCAUUCACAUCCUUCCAUCUUACUAAACGGUCCUCAAAGUUCUGUGGUGCCGUCUGGAUCGGAUAUUCUUCGGCAACCUAAAGAGUACCUGCUGAACAGAGUGGAUCUGGUCCAACAAAGGGCCUUUUUCUUUGUAUUACAUACAGUUAUUCGCCAGGAUCAAAGACGCCAUUGUGUUCCUCGGUGCGAUCAGGAUUGAAUAACCAACAAUAGAACUGGUGUUGUAGAAAGUCUCCGUGGCUAAGCAAUCUGGAAAUAGACUAUACCACAUCCAUCCAAGGGAAACAGUCGCACCUCCACUCUCAGCAGUCGAGAGAGGUGCGUGUUGUCUGUCGGUGCUCUGCAGAUUGAGGAGAGGUUUAUUGCACGGUUGGAAGGAAACUGCAUGAACCAGAAACAGAAUUGAAAUCAUCGUACCACUCGCACCGCAGAUAUCACGUCAUCGCCACCCACCCUGAUCCGUCGCCGUGAGCCACAUAAACCUUAUAAACUUCAUAAAACCGCAAGUAGAACAUGUGACGUCACAUUUAGAUUUAAAAUAAGUAUACAGAAGAACCUUAUAUAGGAUAGUUAAUUUAUUCCAAAAGAUUAUUAUAUUGUUGUUUGUUGUUCCAAGUAAAGAUGCUAAGAAUGAGAAUAGUUUGAAGCCGUUCAUGGUGUUGAAAAAUCACUACAUUUCACUACUUGUUGCGUUUUUCGGACACGAAAGGUGUCUUCAUGCCUCCCUCACUGUGCGGUUCGGCAUAGAACAGUUGACCCUGUGGCCUUUGAGCAUUAGAAACCUUAAUCCGCUCGCAGUUUCAACCUCCUUGUUCGGUUCAGGAUUGUUGCCAGAUCCUAUGUGAAUUACAUCUGACAGAAUAAUAUGGAUAAGUGUGAGUGAUGUACCUUUGUUCUUAUUUACGACCCUGUAGAUCCUAGUUUCCACUGAGCAGUAGGCGAAGGGUUAUACUCCCUCACCCCUCGCCCGAAAAUCAAUAAUUUUGCGAAACAGUGUGAAGGAAAUGAUCAUUUUCGCACACUUCCUAUGAAGUAAUAUCAACCAAACUCUAAUCGAUUACUCACAAGAUAUUAAAUUUUCACCUGCUGUCGCACUGUAUAGUGAAAAACGUCGGAAAACUCGAGCAAGUGCUCUGAAAGUUAAAUUUUCAUUUUUCAAUCUUCGGCAAUGGUUUUGUUUGUAUUGGUGAAAGCAUCGUUAUUUUUUCGACACUGAUGCCAGACAACAUCAUCGAAACAGCUAUCAAAACCACUCAAUAAAAUGUUAUUCCUGAGUUAUAGCGGUUCAUGUUAUGAAAAUCAAUAGGAUAAAAUUGUGUUGAUAUCAAUACAAUCAUUAUUUUUACGUUUAAUGGGUAUAUAAUGUAAGUUUUAGCAACUUUAACAUAGGGUAAGAAAAUUGUAUUGCAGAGCUCGGAACACUGCCACGGCUCCCUAUGCUUUCAAAAACAAUAAACGGAGAAGUAUUACAUUCAAUCUAAAUAUCUCGGCCAACGAAGAGAAGGGUUAAGGGUCUCCAACGUGAAUAUGUGAAAACAAUACGACCAACGAAGGAAAAAAAUUGAGGAAUUAUCAGCAUCGAUACUAUGCGGAAGGACUUGUUAAUAUCAAAAGAGCCCCAAUUCGCAUGUGUUAUAAAUUUGCUCAUGUUACGCUCGCGUAUAAUCAGAAUUUUACUUCAUAUUCAAAUGCACCUUCCAUAUAUAUUUAUGUUUGCAAUCGUUCAUCGGAACAUAUCGUUCAUACAUUUAUCUUCAGUAUUGAAUUGUUAUUUUUUUCAAAUGUAUUCAAAGACUCGUGUCAAUGAAGCGCCACACAGUCUGAUAAGUGAAUUGAUCUAUUUACAUGUGCUUUGCUCUUCUCUCACAAACACUAUUACCCCAUUUUUACACGUGGGUUUACCUAUACUACUACAAUGGCUAGCUUCCACCUUCACCUUAAAAUAAUCUUUAGAAUUUGGUAAAUCUAUGGGAUAUAUUUACGGGGUCCGGAAUGUCGCGGCCAGAUAGGACUUUGUUGUAAAUAAGCAAAACUUAACAUUAUAUUUAAACAAGAUCCCAGCUGAGCGAAGGGGGAAAAUGAGUAAGAGCAAGACAACUACAAGCAUUUCUUUUCAUUGUAUAGAUUAACUUCCAAAAUACUUGAUGUCCUUCGGUUAUUGCUUAUCAUAAAACCAAAAUCAUCUAAAUGGGAAAUAGUCGCUGAGUUAGGACGAAGCGCAGCAUUUAGAUUGCGUCUUGUAAACAAUUUAAUGUGUGCAUCACUGGAUGCAAUUUAUUGCCCUUUCCAUCUUUCUCUGCGCGCGCAAACAUCUACCAACGUUGCAUCUACUAACGAGGGUGAAAUAAAACAUAAUGCAUGAGUGAUGCACGGCCUAUCGCUUAGACGAAGGAUGGAAAGGACCAACUCGAAAAUAAGAUAAGGUCCAUGGUGAUGAUAGGAAGAAUGCCCACAUGGGUGAUCUAAAAAUGAAACCGAUGUGUUAUCGGUUUCAAGAAAGAGA
This is a long non-coding RNA of Toxorhynchites rutilus septentrionalis, 3257 nucleotides long. RefSeq lists it as uncharacterized. The record is from RefSeq and is a predicted model, not a curated record. NCBI's taxonomy places the organism in Eukaryota, Metazoa, Arthropoda, Insecta, Diptera, Culicidae. The transcript is spliced from 3 exons.